UGAGCUCACCAGCGUCAAUUGUGGCUCGAAUAUCGUGGUCUGAAUAAAGCACGGCACCAGUCUACGUGUUUCAC
RNAcentral lists this transfer RNA (74 nucleotides) under Corynebacterium pseudotuberculosis. RNAcentral describes it as "tRNA-Gly". Lineage: Bacteria; Bacillati; Actinomycetota; Actinomycetes; Mycobacteriales; Corynebacteriaceae. The record is from RNAcentral.